RNAcentral lists this ribosomal RNA (830 nucleotides) under Planctomycete enrichment culture clone Cb19. Its description in RNAcentral is "bacterial SSU rRNA". It matches the Rfam family "Bacterial small subunit ribosomal RNA", at positions 554 to 1381 of the family's 1533-position model. Lineage: Bacteria; Pseudomonadati; Planctomycetota; Planctomycetia; Planctomycetales. The record is from RNAcentral.
CUGGGCUUAAAGCGUACGCAGGCGGACUUGUAGGUAUCUUGUGAAAUCCCACGGCUUAACCGUGGAACUGCAGGGUAAACCACAAGUCUUGAGACAUGUAGGGGUCAGUGGAACCAUGAGUGGAGCGGUGAAAUGCGUAGAUAUUCAUGGGAACGCCAAUGGCGAAGGCAGCUGACUGGGCAUGUUCUGACGCUCAGGUACGAAAGCGUGGGUAGCGAACGGGAUUAGAUACCCCGGUAGUCCACGCCGUAAACGAUGCACACUAGGUCGUGGGAUCUCUCAUGAUUUCGCGGCCGAAGGUAAACUGAUUAGUGUGCCGCCUGGGGAGUACGGUCGCAAGGCUAAAACUCAAAGGAAUUGACGGGGGCUCACACAAGCGGUGGAGCAUGUUGCUUAAUUCGAGGCAACGCGAAGAACCUUACCUGGGCUUGACAUGUAUGGAUUAGCUUAUGGAAACAUAAGUGACGCCCUUGGGUGGAACAUACACAGGUGCUGCAUGGCUGUCGUCAGCUCGUGCUGUGAAGUGUCGGGUUAAGUCCCUUAACGAGCGCAACCCCUAUCGUUAGUUACUAACGCGUUAUGGCGAGGACUCUAGCGAGACUGCCGGUGUCAAACCGGAGGAAGGUGGGGAUGACGUCAAGUCCUCAUGGCCUUUAUGCCCAGGGAUGCAAACGUGCUACAAUGGUACGGACAAAGCGAUGCAAUACCGCGAGGUGGAGCAAAUCGCAAAACCGUGCCCCAGUUCGGAUAGCAGCUGAAAUUCGCCUGCUUGAAGCCGGAUCGCUAGUAAUCGCGUAUCAGCUACGACGCGUGAAUACGUUCCUGAGCCU